RNAcentral lists this ribosomal RNA (468 nucleotides) under uncultured bacterium. Its description in RNAcentral is "partial 16S ribosomal RNA". It matches the Rfam family "Bacterial small subunit ribosomal RNA", at positions 28 to 507 of the family's 1533-position model. The record is from RNAcentral.
GACGAACGCUGGCGGCGUGCUUAACACAUGCAAGUCGAACGGAAAGGCCCUGCUUUUGUGGGGUGCUCGAGUGGCGAACGGGUGAGUAACACGUGAGUAACCUGCCAUUGACUUUGGGAUAACUUCAGGAAACUGGGGCUAAUACCGGAUAGGAGCUCCUGCUGCAUGGUGGGGGUUGGAAAGUUUCGGCGGUUGGGGAUGGACUCGCGGCUUAUCAGCUUGUUGGUGGGGUAGUGGCUUACCAAGGCUUUGACGGGUAGCCGGCCUGAGAGGGUGAGCGGCCACACCGGGCCUGAGAUACGGCCCAGACUCCUCCGCGACGCAGCAGUGGGGUAUAUUGCACUGUGCGCGGAAGCCUGGUGCAGCCCCGCCGCGUGCGGGAUGACGGCCUUCGGUUUGUAUUCCGCUUCCGCCUGUGACGAAGUGUGAGUGACGGUAAUGGGUAAAGAAGCACCGGCUAACUCCGUG